UGGGGAAUAUUGGACAAUGGGGGGAACCCUGAUCCAGCAAUGCCGCGUGUGUGAAGAAGGCCUUCGGGUUGUAAAGCACUUUAGGCUGGGAGGAAGUUGUUUUGUUUAAGAGAUGAGACAAUUGACUGUACCGGCAGAAUAAGCACCGGCUAACUCUGUGCCAGCAGCCGCGGUAAUACAGAGGGUGCGAGCGUUAAUCGGAGUUACUGGGCGUAAAGGGCGCGUAGGCGGUCUGUUAAGAUGGUUGUGAAAUCCCUGGGCUUAACCUAGGAACGGCAACCAUGACUGGCAGGCUGGAGUACUGUAGAGGGUAGUGGAAUUUCCGGUGUAGCGGUGAAAUGCGUAGAGAUCGGAAGGAACACCAGUGGCGAAGGCGGCUACCUGGACAGAUACUGACGCUGAGGCGCGAGAGCGUGGGGAGCAAACAGG
This 429-nucleotide ribosomal RNA is filed under the name uncultured bacterium. Its description in RNAcentral is "bacterial SSU rRNA". It matches the Rfam family "Bacterial small subunit ribosomal RNA", at positions 355 to 776 of the family's 1533-position model. The record is from RNAcentral.